CCUACGGGUGGCAGCAGUGGGGAAUCUUCCGCAAUGGGCGAAAGCCUGACGGAGCAACGCCGCGUGAUCGAAUGAAGGCCUUCGGGUUGUAAAGAUCUGUUGACAGGGACGAAUAAGCAAUGCGAAUAGUUUUGUGUAUGACGGUACCUGUUUAGAAAGCUCCGGCUAACUACGUGCCUGCAGCCGCGGUAAUACGUAGGGGGCAAGCGUUAUCCGGAAUUAUUGGGCGUAAAGAGUACGUAGGUGGCAACCUAAGCGCAGGGUUUAAGGCAAUGGCUCAACCAUUGUUCGCCCUGCGAACUGGGAUGCUUGAGUGCAGGAGAGGAAAGCGGAAUUCCUAGUGUAGCGGUGAAAUGCGUAGAUAUUAGGAGGAACACCAGUGGCGAAGGCGGCUUUCUGGACUGUAACUGACACUGAGGUACGAAAGCGUGGGGAGCAAACAGGAUUAGAUACCCCUGUAGUC
This 463-nucleotide ribosomal RNA is filed under the name uncultured bacterium. Its description in RNAcentral is "partial 16S ribosomal RNA". It matches the Rfam family "Bacterial small subunit ribosomal RNA", at positions 338 to 795 of the family's 1533-position model. The record is from RNAcentral.